GGGGAAUUUUGGACAAUGGGGGCAACCCUGAUCCAGCAAUGCCGCGUGUGUGAAGAAGGCCUUCGGGUUGUAAAGCACUUUUGUCCGGAAAGAAAACUUCGGGGCUAAUACCCCUGGAGGAUGACGGUACCGGAAGAAUAAGCACCGGCUAACUACGUGCCAGCAGCCGCGGUAAUACGUAGGGUGCGAGCGUUAAUCGGAAUUACUGGGCGUAAAGCGUGCGCAGGCGGUGCUGUAAGACCGAUGUGAAAUCCCCGGGCUUAACCUGGGAACUGCAUUGGUGACUGCAGCGCUGGAGUAUGGCAGAGGGGGGUGGAAUUCCACGUGUAGCAGUGAAAUGCGUAGAGAUGUGGAGGAACACCGAUGGCGAAGGCAGCCCCCUGGGCCAAUACUGACGCUCAUGCACGAAAGCGUGGGGAGCAAAC
RNAcentral lists this ribosomal RNA (425 nucleotides) under uncultured bacterium. Its description in RNAcentral is "bacterial SSU rRNA". It matches the Rfam family "Bacterial small subunit ribosomal RNA", at positions 356 to 773 of the family's 1533-position model. The record is from RNAcentral.